GACGUAGGGGACAAGCGUUAUCCGGAUUUACUGGGCGUAAAGCGCCCGCAGGCGGUAGGGUAAGUUGGCCGUGAAAGCUCCUGGCUUAACCGGGAGAGGUCGGUCAAAACUGCUUUACUUGAGGCCGAGAGAGGAGAGCGGAAUUCCCGGUGUAGUGGUGGAAUGCGUAGAUAUCGGGAGGAACACCAGUGGCGCAGGCGGCUCUCUGGCUCGGUUCUGACGCUGAGGGGCGAAAGCGUGGGGAGCGAACGGG
Molecule: ribosomal RNA, 253 nt
Filed under: uncultured bacterium
Lineage: Bacteria
Description: partial 16S ribosomal RNA
Rfam family: Bacterial small subunit ribosomal RNA
Source: RNAcentral